Molecule: ribosomal RNA, 492 nt
Filed under: uncultured bacterium
Lineage: Bacteria
Description: partial 16S ribosomal RNA
Rfam family: Bacterial small subunit ribosomal RNA
Source: RNAcentral
AGUGAACGCUGGCGGUAGGCCUAACACAUGCAAGUCGAACGGCAGCACAGUAAGAGCUUGCUCUUACGGGUGGCGAGUGGCGGACGGGUGAGGAAUACAUCGGAAUCUACUUUUUCGUGGGGGAUAACGUAGGGAAACUUACGCUAAUACCGCAUACGACCUACGGGUGAAAGCAGGGGAUCUUCGGACCUUGCGCGAUUGAAUGAGCCGAUGUCGGAUUAGCUAGUUGGCGGGGUAAAGGCCCACCAAGGCGACGAUCCGUAGCUGGUCUGAGAGGAUGAUCAGCCACACUGGAACUGAGACACGGUCCAGACUCCUACGGGAGGGAGCAGUGGGGAAUAUUGGACAAUGGGCGCAAGCCUGAUCCAGCCAUACCGCGUGGGUGAAGAAGGCCUUCGGGUUGGAAAGCCCUUUUGUUGGGAAAGAAAAGCAGCAGGUUAAUACCCCGCUGUUCUGACGGUACCCAAAGAAUAAGCACCGGCUAACUUCGUG